Long non-coding RNA from Cryptomeria japonica (Japanese cedar), 163 nucleotides. RefSeq lists it as uncharacterized. The transcript has 3 exons. The record is from RefSeq and is a predicted model, not a curated record. NCBI's taxonomy places the organism in Eukaryota, Viridiplantae, Streptophyta, Pinopsida, Cupressales, Cupressaceae.
CAGAGCUCACAGAUCAAGAAUCAAAUAGGUUUCUAGAAUACCACUUAAGACAUAAAAACCCAGCAGAAGAUAUAGAAAAGAGGAGCUUUACUAAAAGCCAAUCCUGUCUAGUAGAACUUCCAGCAGGGGAACCGCAAAAUGAUGAUGGAUUGAAACGAAGGUG